UCAAAUUGAAAUUGAUAAAUUAAUUAGUGUCUAAGAUAAGUAUGACAUUAUGAUCGAUGAUUUUUAAUUGGCAAUCUGCUUACUUGGCCAUUUCGAUGGUGUCUAAGGCCAGCUUUAGCAGAUCCUCCCAUCGAUCUCACUUAUCUGGCUAAUAUAGUCAAUCAGUUUUUGAUUAGAUUGCUCGUUGAUUCGAGCUAACCUAUGCUGUAUAGGUAAAUCAGUAUGACUGAUUUAGGUACCCCA
Molecule: long non-coding RNA, 243 nt
Filed under: Elaeis guineensis (African oil palm)
Lineage: Eukaryota; Viridiplantae; Streptophyta; Magnoliopsida; Arecales; Arecaceae
Description: long non-coding RNA (EGUI_LNC033880)
Source: RNAcentral